CAGCAGCCGCGGUAACACGAAGGGGGCUAGCGUUGUUCGGAAUUACUGGGCGUAAAGGGCGCGUAGGCGGCCAUUCAAGUUAGAUGUGAAAGCCCUGGGCUCAACCUAGGAAUUGCAUUUGAUACUGUUUGGCUUGAGUUCGGGAGAGGUGAGUGGAAUUCCCAGUGUAGAGGUGAAAUUCGUAGAUAUUGGGAAGAACACCAGUGGCGAAGGCGGCUCACUGGACCGACACUGACGCUGAGGCGCGAAAGCGUGGGGAGCAAACAGGAUUAGAUACCCGCGUAGUCCCUGUCUCUUAUAC
RNAcentral lists this ribosomal RNA (301 nucleotides) under uncultured bacterium. RNAcentral's name for it is "partial 16S ribosomal RNA". It matches the Rfam family "Bacterial small subunit ribosomal RNA", at positions 509 to 807 of the family's 1533-position model. The record is from RNAcentral.